RNAcentral lists this unclassified non-coding RNA (352 nucleotides) under soil metagenome. RNAcentral's name for it is "partial contains 5.8S ribosomal RNA, internal transcribed spacer 2, and large subunit ribosomal RNA". The stretch from base 1 to 120 matches the Rfam family "5.8S ribosomal RNA", at positions 35 to 154 of the family's 154-position model. The record is from RNAcentral.
GAUGAAGAACGCAGCGAAAUGCGAUAAGUAAUGUGAAUUGCAGAAUUCAGUGAAUCAUCGAAUCUUUGAACGCACAUUGCGCCCGCCAGUAUUCUGGCGGGCAUGCCUGUUCGAGCGUCAUUACAACCCUCAGGCCCCCGGGCCUGGCGUUGGGGAUCGGCGGAAGCCCCCUGUGGGCACACGCCGUCCCUCAAAUACAGUGGCGGUCCCGCCGCAGCUUCCAUUGCGUAGUAGCUAACACCUCGCAACUGGAGAGCGGCGCGGCCAUGCCGUAAAACACCCAACUUCUGAAUGUUGACCUCGAAUCAGGUAGGAAUACCCGCUGAACUUAAGCAUAUCUAUAAGCGGAGGA